Molecule: RNA transcript, 3146 nt
Organism: Crotalus tigris (Tiger rattlesnake)
Lineage: Eukaryota; Metazoa; Chordata; Lepidosauria; Squamata; Viperidae
Gene: MTX3
Gene name: metaxin 3
Exons: 10
Source: RefSeq, a predicted model, not a curated record
CGAAGACAACUCACGGGGCGGGGCUUUGCAAGGCCAAAGGUGAACAGUGUCAACAUGGCGUCUUCAAUGGAGCUGAGUUGCUGGGGCGGCGACUGGGGAUUGCCGUCGGUGCACGCCGAGUGUCUCGUUGUCAUGACUUAUGCCAGGUUUUCAGGCGCACCAUUGAAAAUCAGUGUAAUAGAUAAUGAAUGGAAAGCACAAAGAGGGAGUAUACCAUUAUUAUUAUCAGAUGAUAUUGCUAUUUCUGAGCCAGCAAAAAUAUUAAACUUUUUAAGAAAACAGAAAUAUAAUGCUGAUUACGAAUUGUCUUCAAAGGAAGGAGCUGACACACUGGCAUACAUUGCACUGCUUGAAGAAAAACUACAUCCUGCUAUGCUGUAUACUUUUUGGAUUGAAGCUGAUAAUUACUAUAAUUUGACAAAACCAUGGUUUGCUUCAAGGAUUCCAUUUCCAUUGAGUUGGUAUCUACCUAGAAAGAUGUCCAGGGAAGCUCUGAAUAGGAUCUUGCUGACAAAGGGAGGGCCUCCUCUCUAUAGUAUCACUGAAGUAGAAGUUCAGAUCUACAGAGAUGCAAAAGAAUGUCUGAAUCUUCUGUCAAAUAGACUAGGCUCAGCUCCAUUUUUCUUUGGAAAUAAACCUACAACUCUUGAUGCCUUCGUAUUUGGUUUUCUUGCACCUCUUUAUAAAGCACCAUUCCUUAAAGUCCAGUUACAAGAGCAUCUUAAGCAGCUUCCCAACUUAUGUCGCUUCUGUGAUGAUAUUCUGAGUUGCUACUUUAGACGAAACCUCUCAGGGACUUCUCCGGAGGGACAAGAUACAGUUGAUGCAAAUCUCCAGAAACUUACACAGCUUGUGAACAAGGAAUCUAAUUUGAUUGAAAAGACCCCUUAUCAGCUUGGUUGCAUUCCUCUGUACAUCCUCAAGUUUAUCAAUGCCAUUCCUAAAAUGCAGUACCAAUAAAGGAAAAGAUAAAGGAGAAAAUGCAGUACCUGGAAAGAACUCAACACAGUGUUCUAGGUGCAGUAGGAAAAAUGAACUCAGAUGGAUGAUAAUCUUCGCAAGAGCCCUCAGCAUCCUCCUCGUAAGCUGACAACUGUCAAACUUUCUACAGCCGAGGAAGGAAAUAAUUCACUGAAUCGAUUGUCACCCUUAUAGUUUUUAAUUUCAUUUUUAUAUAUGCGUUCUGAGAAACUGUUCAUCUGUAAUCAAUUUUUGCACUAAACUGUGUCUUUAUGAAUCUGUGGCAAAAGAUAAUUUGACAUGGGUGCAGGCCCAUUCAUUUAACCAAUUUAUUCUAUGGUCAUGUUAAAAAUACUACACCUAAGUUAACAUAGGAAAGAUCACUAGGUAAUUGUAAAAUAUGCUGUUUCAUGUCACCUUUAAUGCUGCAUAAUGCUUGCCUGUUCAGGUCAAUAUGUCUUUUGACCAAAAGCUAUUUUUUGGGAAUUCAUUAGAUUAAGAUUUCAGUUUUGACUGCGAUCAUGUUAAACCUCAACUUUUUGUUUAUCAGAAUAGGUACUUGAUCCCCACUUUUAGCAUUUCUGUAGUUUUCUACAAUAGCUCAAAUACUGAAAUUAAAAUAUCAGAACAAUGAAUAGUGAAUGGUUUUUGCCACUUUGGAACAUUUUGUGCAAGCAGUGGUGAAUAUAUGCAAUAUAUGCUAUUUUUAAAAGAAUAUAGAUUAUUUUAAAAACUAGUCUUGCUGCCAUUGGCAUCUUGUUUCAUAUUUAAAUGUUUAUUCAGAUCUAGUUUUACAAAGAGCAGGCCUUGGCAAGCUGUCUAAAAGCAUGUUGCAUACAAAUUGUAACCAUUUUUACUGAGUUCUUUUUUUCCCUACUUUGGUCUCUCUUACUCAUUGAAACCUUUUUCAUGUUUCUUUGGAAUAGGGGAAAACAAGAUGAAGUGGAGAGAAUCUCCUUAAAACUCCAUUUCCGAGUUUUAGUCUAGUAUUCAUGCAAUUGGUUUUUGCUUUAAGGCAAUUCAUCAACACCAACCUGAAUAAUCUAUCCUUUUCUCUGGGUUAGAAUGUUUCAGUUAAUGAACUGACAGGAUAUUGAGGGUGUGCAGUAUAUUGAUCUUUGCAGAUGGAUUUCCUGAUGAGCAUGGGCUUUCCCAAGUACUUGAAUCAAGAAUGGUAGGUAAUGCACCACUCAGAACUGCUAUACAUAGAGCUCUGUCUUUUACACUUUCUUGUUAUAGUUUAUUUAUUUUACAGGAUCUAAAGGUCUAAAGCACACAUGGCAAUAUAAUAAAAACAGCAGCAGAGAGAAAUAUAAUGCCAAAGCAGUGCACAUAAAAUUCAGUAUAGGGAUAGAACUUGGCAUUUCCUGAAAGCUUCUAAAUCAAGCUCAUAUCUGUCUAAAAUGGUACUGAAAAACAUUUCAGCUUAGCAGUUUUGCCACAAUUAAUGUAACAACAUUAAUAGUCCAAAUAAAAAUGGAUAGUUGUUAAUAGGAGAAACUGGAUUGUUUAAAAGUCAGAUGGUUAGAGAUUGGCUUGCAAAAGGAAGGAAUAAAAUAAAUUGUAUAAAAAGGGGAUAUUGAAAUAUUUAAGCCUUAAGAUCUUUGAAUAGUAUGGACUUUUGAAAGCACAUUUUACAAAGAUGUACUAUGAACCUUUUUGUACCUGUUUGAAGUAGCUCCCUGAGCCCCUAUUUUUAACCAAGCUAGUGCCACAAAAUAACAGGGCACACUACCGUGGAAAUCUGUAAAACAUCAAUGAAAUAAAGUAUGGAAGGUUGCAUAAAUUUGGGGUGUGGUCUAGGCAAGGACUUUCAUUGACUCUCAAAAUUUAAUUCUGAAUUAAAUCAACAGAAUAUUUUUCAGAAAAGGACUUAACCAAAAUGGCAUCUUCUUUUAAUCAACUGAUUUUUUUUUAUAUUUUUCAUAUGUAAACAAACAACUUUCUUUUUGUUUAACUUUAUUUUGCCAAAUCAAACAAAUUUACUUUUCUCUAAAUUACUUAGAGUAUUCUGUGAAUGUAGAGACAUAUAGUAGUUAUCUGAAUAAGUUUGUAAAUUUUGUAUAUAAAUGUACUUACAGAAUAUUACUUUAUAAAAUAAGGAAUGUAGCAAUCUCUUCAUGUAACUUGUAUUUAUAAUACUAUUUUGGGAUGUCUAACAAGAAUAAAAUUAAACUUUCAUGUUA